This 77-nucleotide transfer RNA is filed under the name Blumeria hordei DH14. RNAcentral describes it as "Blumeria graminis f. sp. hordei DH14 tRNA-Pro". Lineage: Eukaryota; Fungi; Ascomycota; Leotiomycetes; Helotiales; Erysiphaceae. The record is from RNAcentral.
AGCCUGAUAGUUCACUGGUAGAAUUCUUGCUUUGGGAAAAAUGUAAGAGGUCUCCGGUUCCAUCCCGGAUUAAGCCC